GCAAAUGUGGCAUAGUGGUUUGAGUGUGGGACUACUACUCUGGAGACCAGGGUUAGAUUCCUUGUUUUGGUG
Molecule: non-coding RNA, 72 nt
Organism: Phrynosoma platyrhinos (Desert horned lizard)
Lineage: Eukaryota; Metazoa; Chordata; Lepidosauria; Squamata; Phrynosomatidae
Source: the annotation of a GenBank genome assembly